RNAcentral lists this ribosomal RNA (497 nucleotides) under uncultured bacterium. Its description in RNAcentral is "partial 16S ribosomal RNA". It matches the Rfam family "Bacterial small subunit ribosomal RNA", at positions 28 to 507 of the family's 1533-position model. The record is from RNAcentral.
GAUGAACGCUGGCGGCGUGCCUAAUACAUGCAAGUCGAGCGAACGGACGAGAAGCUUGCUUCUCUGAUGUUAGCGGCGGACGGGUGAGUAACACGUGGAUAACCUACCUAUAAGACUGGGAUAACUUCGGGAAACCGGAGCUAAUACCGGAUAAUAUUUUGAACCGCAUGGUUCAAUAGUGAAAGACGGUCUUGCUGUCACUUAUAGAUGGAUCCGCGCUGCAUUAGCUAGUUGGUAAGGUAACGGCUUACCAAGGCAACGAUGCAUAGCCGACCUGAGAGGGUGAUCGGCCACACUGGAACUGAGACACGGUCCAGACUCCUACGGGAGGAAGCAGUAGGGAAUCUUCCGCAAUGGGCGAAAGCCUGACGGAGCAACGCCGCGUGAGUGAUGAAGGUCUUCGGAUCGUAAAACUCUGUUAUUAGGGAAGAACAAAUGUGUAAGUAACUGUGCACAUCUUGACGGUACCUAACCAGAAAGCCACGGCUAACUACGUG